RNAcentral lists this ribosomal RNA (403 nucleotides) under uncultured bacterium. RNAcentral's name for it is "partial 16S ribosomal RNA". It matches the Rfam family "Bacterial small subunit ribosomal RNA", at positions 28 to 526 of the family's 1533-position model. The record is from RNAcentral.
GACGAACGCUGGCGGCGUGCCUAAUACAUGCAAGUCGAACGCAGUGGGGACGGGUGAGUAACACGUGGGUAAUCUCCCAUCAGAGUGGAGAAAACUUGGAAACAGGUGCUAAACCGAUACUGAUGGAUGGACUCGUGGUGCAUUAGCUAGUUGGUGGGGUAACGGCUCACCAAGGCCACGAUGCAUAGCCGGCCUGAGAGGGUGAUCGGCCACACUGGGACUGAGACACGGCCCAGACUCCUACGGGAGGCAGCAGUGGGGAAUCUUGGGCAAUGGGCGAAAGUCUGACCGAGCCACGCCGCGUGAGUGAAGAAGGUUUUCGGAUCGUAAAGCUCUGUUGUUAGAGAAGCGGUAUCUAACCAGAAAGCCACGGCUAACUACGUGCCAGCCGCCGCGGUAAUUC